This is a long non-coding RNA of Oncorhynchus tshawytscha (Chinook salmon), 1187 nucleotides long. The record is from Ensembl. NCBI's taxonomy places the organism in Eukaryota, Metazoa, Chordata, Actinopteri, Salmoniformes, Salmonidae.
CCGCUGUUCUGUGUGGAGUCAGACACGCCCGCUUUACGUUAGUCCGGGAACCAUGGCAAUGACAGUUGGUUAGCUAGCGUGUCGCCGCUGUUCUGUGUGGAGUCAGACACGCCCGCUUUACGUUAGUCCGGGAACCAUGGCAAUGACAGUUGGUUAGCUAGCGUGUCGCCGCUUAGAAAAGGUCUGACUGCACGAACGUUCACUGUUGCAGUGCUGCCUUUGGGAGCAUGUGGUCCUUGAAACACUUCUCUAGUCCAGCAAUAUGAGUGUGCCAGAGGUCGUCACGCUGGACGGGAGGCUGUGGUGGUCCACGAUAACGAAGGAGCAGGUGUCCCUUCCAGUGAUGUGGAACUGACCUUGGACUUGGACCUGGUGCCAGGAAGGAUGGUCUUCACAGAGGCAGUAAGACCUUCCCUCCGCUUGGAUAUAGAAAUCAUUCGACCUCCUCUUCAAUGGUCAGGUCCCUUUUAGGCACCAUAGGAACACUUGACCUCCACCACCAGACCAUCCGGUGAGGCACCCAGGAUCCCAGACCGUUUGGUGAGGGGCACCCAGGAUCCCAGACCGUCCGGUGAGGCACCCAGGAUCCCAGACCGUUCGGUGAGAGGCACCCAGGAUCCCAGACCGUUCGGUGAGGGGCACCCAGGAUCCCAGACCAUCCGUUGAGGCACCCAGGAUCCCAGACCAUCCGGUGAGGCACCCAGGAUCCCAGACCAUCCGUUCGAUGAGGGGCACCCAGGAUCCCAGACCAUCCGUUGAGGCACCCAGGAUCCCGGACCGUCCGGUGAAGCACCCAGGAUCCCAGACCGUUCGGUGAGGGGCACCCAGGAUCCCAGACCGUUCGGUGAGGCACCCAGGAUCCCAGACCGUCCGGUGAGGCACCCAGACCGUCUGGUGAGGGGCACCCAGGAUCCCGGACCGUCUGGUGAAUUUCACCCAGGAUCCCAGACCGUCUGGUGAAUUUCACCCAGGACCCCAGACCGUCUGGUGAAGGGCACCCAGGAUCCCCUCCCUCUUUGUCAUCUGUCCCCCACAUUAUAGACAGUUUGUUUCCCAUAAACUUUUAAUUCAUAACUUUGGAUUUUUUACCACUUGCCAUAUCAAUCAUAAUAGUGGGAAGGAGCCUACAGAUCCAGACUGUGUGAGGGCAUGUACCACUCAGAAUAAAUAAAUACUGUUCCUUUGAA